GUGCCAGCAGCCGCGGUAAGACGAACCGUGCGAACGUUAUUCGGAAUCACUGGGCUUAAAGCGCGUGUAGGCGGGAGGGCACGUCCGUCGCUGAAAUCCCCCGGCUCAACCGGGGAACGGGCGCGGAUACGACCUUCCUGGAGGGGCGUAGGGGGACCUGGAACUUCCGGUGGAGCGGUGAAAUGCGUUGAGAUCGGAAGGAACGCCCGUGGCGAAAGCGAGGUCCUGGACGCCUACUGACGCUGAGACGCGAAAGCCAGGGGAGCGAACGGGAUUAGAUACCCCGGUAGUCC
This 293-nucleotide ribosomal RNA is filed under the name uncultured bacterium. Its description in RNAcentral is "partial 16S ribosomal RNA". It matches the Rfam family "Bacterial small subunit ribosomal RNA", at positions 505 to 796 of the family's 1533-position model. The record is from RNAcentral.